AAAACGAGACAGAGGAAGGAUAUAAACAUCUUUGGGCUCUAACAAGAUGGCUGAAAUUUUCUAUGGUAAUUAAGCAAUGGAUGACAAUUUUUUUAACAGCGCAUUUACACAACUCAAAAUCUUCUCUUCUAAUGACUUGCAGAGAAGAGCCUGAUGCGAGCAGCGAUUCUGUACCACUUCCAAUGAAGCUUUCGGGGACUCCAAUAUGUCAUCUAGUUACCAAACUAUCAAGUUGAAGGCAUCUUAGAAAUCUCUACCAAUAU
Molecule: unclassified non-coding RNA, 263 nt
Filed under: Hevea brasiliensis (rubber tree)
Lineage: Eukaryota; Viridiplantae; Streptophyta; Magnoliopsida; Malpighiales; Euphorbiaceae
Source: RNAcentral